GAUGAAGAACGUAGCGAAAUGCGAUACGUAAUGUGAAUUGCAAAUUCAGUGAAUCAUCGAGUCUUUGAACGCACAUUGCGCCCCCUGGUAUUCCGGGGGGCAUGCCUGUCCGAGCGUCAUUGCUGCCCUCAAGCACGGCUUGUGUGUUGCCCCGUCCUCCGAUCCCGGGGGACGGGCCCGAAAGGCAGCGGCGGCACCGCGUCCGGUCCUCGAGCGUAUGGGGCUUUGUCACCCGCUCUGUAGGCCCGGCCGGCGCUUGCCGAUCAACCCAAAUUUUUAUCCAGGUUGACCUCGGAUCAGGUAGGGAUACCCGCUGAACUUAAGCAUAUCAAUAAGCGGAGGA
Molecule: unclassified non-coding RNA, 343 nt
Filed under: soil metagenome
Description: partial contains 5.8S ribosomal RNA, internal transcribed spacer 2, and large subunit ribosomal RNA
Rfam family: 5.8S ribosomal RNA (bases 1-119)
Source: RNAcentral